Molecule: ribosomal RNA, 305 nt
Filed under: uncultured bacterium
Lineage: Bacteria
Description: bacterial SSU rRNA
Rfam family: Bacterial small subunit ribosomal RNA
Source: RNAcentral
AGUGUCCUACGGGGCGCAGCAGUGGGGAAUAUUGCACAAUGGGGGGAACCCUGAUGCAGCGACGCCGCGUGAAGGAAGAAGUAUUUCGGUAUGUAAACUUCUAUCAGCAGGGAAGAAAAAGGACGGUACCUGACUAAGAAGCCCCGGCUAACUACGUGCCAGCAGCCGCGGUAAUACGUAGGGGGCAAGCGUUAUCCGGAUUUACUGGGUGUAAAGUGAGCGUAGACGGCUGUGCAAGUCUGAAGUGAAAUGCCGGGGCCCAACCCCGGAACUGCUUUGGAAACUGUACAGCUAGAGUGCAGGAG